Sorex fumeus (smoky shrew) is the source of this 104-nucleotide small nuclear RNA. The record is from RefSeq and is a predicted model, not a curated record. Lineage: Eukaryota; Metazoa; Chordata; Mammalia; Eulipotyphla; Soricidae.
GCGCUCGCUUCAGCAGCAUAUAUACUAAAUUUCGAACGAUACAGAGAUUAGCAUGGCCCCUAAGCAAGGAUGACACGCAAAUUCGCGAAGCGUUCCAUAUUUUU